GUGGGAGGCCGGGGAGAGAUCUCAGUCCUCAGCGUCCGGUUGCCAGGCAACGCAUCACGCUCCCCUGGAUCACCCCGGCGCUCUGCGGCAUGACGUCAUCGGCAAGCGCCCGUCGUGGACGGACACCAUGCGGGACGCUGCCGUCACCCGGCUUCUCUCAGCGGCGGGGGGUAUUUAAGUCACCAUGGCGACCACCAGUUUCCUUUAUCCCCUCCGUUGACGGGUCACGUGCCUGCGUUCCAGGCAGCCGGCGCCGGAAGGUGUCACGAGUAGGGAGGAAGUGAGGUGACGGACCGAAGGCGGCAGCAAGCGAAUGGGACCAGCGCGAUGACGUCAUCGGAAGGAGACACGCGGCGACUGAGAGGCGGGCAUGGCGGCCAGGACGGCUUUUCACUAUUUAAGGUCACCAUGGCGACCACCAGUUUCCUUUAUCCCCUCCGUUGACGGGUCACGUGCCUGCGUUCCAGGCAGCCGGCGCCGGAAGGUGUCACGAGUAGGGAGGAAGUGAGGUGACGGACCGAAGGCGGCAGCAAGCGAAUGGGACCAGCGCGAUGACGUCAUCGGAAGGGGACACGCGGCGACUGAGAGGCGGGCAUGGCGGCCAGGACGGCUUUUCACUAUUUAAGUUGUCAUGGUAACGGGAAUCUCACGUCUGACUUGUCAUGUACGUAUGACGUCAGCAAUCAGCGACUCGUGGGCGGGUGUUCAGUCCCGUCCCCACGUCCGCAGCACACAUGGUGAUGUCUUGUGUAUAAA
Pseudophryne corroboree (corroboree frog) is the source of this 756-nucleotide long non-coding RNA. RefSeq lists it as uncharacterized. The record is from RefSeq and is a predicted model, not a curated record. The transcript is spliced from 4 exons. Lineage: Eukaryota; Metazoa; Chordata; Amphibia; Anura; Myobatrachidae.